AGCGGCGGACGGGUGAGUAAUGCAUAGGAAUCUGCCCGGUAGUGGGGGAUAACCUGGGGAAACCCAGGCUAAUACCGCAUACGUCCUACGGGAGAAAGGGGGCUCCGGCUCCCGCUAUUGGAUGAGCCUAUGUCGGAUUAGCUAGUUGGUAAGGUAAUGGCUUACCAAGGCAACGAUCCGUAGCUGGUCUGAGAGGAUGAUCAGCCACAUCGGGACUGAGACACGGCCCGAACUCCUACGGGAGGCAGCAGUGGGGAAUAUUGGACAAUGGGGGCAACCCUGAUCCAGCCAUGCCGCGUGUGUGAAGAAGGCCCUCGGGUUGUAAAGCACUUUCAGCGAGGAAGAACGCCUAGCGGUUAAUACCCGCUAGGAAAGACAUCACUCGCAGAAGAAGCACCGGCUAACUCCGUGCCAGCAGCCGCGGUAAUACGGAGGGUGCAAGCGUUAAUCGGAAUUACUGGGCGUAAAGCGCGCGUAGGUGGCUUGAUAAGCCGGUUGUGAAAGCCCCGGGCUCAACCUGGGAACGGCAUCCGGAACUGUCAGGCUAGAGUGCAGGAGAGGAAGGUAGAAUUCCCGGUGUAGCGGUGAAAUGCGUAGAGAUCGGGAGGAAUACCAGUGGCGAAGGCGGCCUUCUGGACUGACACUGACACUGAGGUGCGAAAGCGUGGGUAGCAAACAGGAUUAGAUACCCUGGUAGUCCACGCCGA
RNAcentral lists this ribosomal RNA (707 nucleotides) under uncultured bacterium. Its description in RNAcentral is "bacterial SSU rRNA". It matches the Rfam family "Bacterial small subunit ribosomal RNA", at positions 94 to 803 of the family's 1533-position model. The record is from RNAcentral.